CCCAGCUGGAGAAAGGCUGGUCCAGAUGCUGGACUGAUGACCCGGCGGGUCCCCUUCCAGCUCCGCAAUGAAACGGAAGAGGAAGCCUUGGGGAGAAGCCCAGAAUCUCAGGCUUGGAAGGCACCCAAAGGACAUCUAGUCCAGCCCCUGCAAUGCAGGAAUCUCUGCUCAGCUCCCCAGUGCAGGCGGCCCUCCACCUUCUGCUCAGAAACCUCCAAGGAAGGAGAGGCCGCCAUCUCUCCUGGGGGUGACAGGGCCCAGCAGCUCUUCAGUUUUUCCAAAUGCUUUUCCAAAUGAAACGGAAAACUGCAGCCCAGACCUAAAUCGCAGAUCUGCAUCCCCCAGACUGAAGAGGAAGCCUCUCACUCUUCUUUCCGGUUGGGACUGCCUGCAUUUGGGCCUUCAAUAUUUCACCUUUGAGAAGCUCCCAUUUAUUUCAGUAUUUCAGAACAUAAGAUCUCACCCAUACCUCCUUAAGCCUUUUUUAAUUGGCCGCCUUAAAGUGAAUUCCUGACUACACUCAGCUUGCGUUUCCCUCUGUCUCAGGGGAGGACAUGAUCACUUCCUCCCAAGUUUCCCAGUACUUCCACUUGCUUGAUCAGUUCCCAUCUGUUGUUGAGGACUAGGUCCAAGACAGAUGAUCCCCUUCUUGUUUCUUCCACCUUCUGGGUCAUGAAAUUGUCAGUGAGGCAAUUCUGCAUGGUCGCUUUCCUUAGACCAGGGCUAGACGCUUCCUUCUCUCUCUUCUUCCUUUUUUCCUGUUAAUGAAAGUUCAGAGUCGGGGCUGUGGUGCAGUCCAGCCCUGGCUCCUAGCAAGACUCAGCCACGCUUGCUCAGGAAACAUUUCUCUUCUCCUGACCAUGUAUCAGUCUGAUAACAGACCAAUAUGUUUGCUUUGUAGGCUUUGCUAGCACCUCUAAAUCGGACCAUCAGAACUUGGCAGAAAACGAAAGGAUUCCUUCCGAUCUCUUGGAGGCUUCAUGAGAGCCCAGAUGGAUGAGCAAGACUCAGCUGGCCCUGAAGCAGGAGGAGGCCCUGCCCUCCAAACUGGGAGCAGUGGGAGAUUAUGGGAAAACUCAGAGCAGAAGAUCCCAGGUGAGGAGGACACCCUCUGCUCAGAGGUGCAGAGCCAGCAGUUGACGCAGUCCGGCUCUCAGGAGGCCAAAGGACCCCGAGAGGCUUGCGGCCGACUCCACCACCUCAACUGUCAGUGGCUGAAGCCAGAAAGUCAUACGAAAGCUCAGAUGCUGGACCUGGUGAUCUUGGAGCAGUUCCUGGCUGUCCUUCCGCUGGAGAUGGAGAGCUGGGUGAGGGAAUGUGGAGCAGAGACCAGUUCCCAGGCUGUAGCCCUGGCUGAAGGUUUCCUCCUGAGUCAGGCGGAGAGGAG
This is a non-coding RNA of Podarcis lilfordi (Lilford's wall lizard), 1387 nucleotides long. NCBI's taxonomy places the organism in Eukaryota, Metazoa, Chordata, Lepidosauria, Squamata, Lacertidae. The record is from the annotation of a GenBank genome assembly.